RNAcentral lists this ribosomal RNA (2658 nucleotides) under human gut metagenome. Its description in RNAcentral is "bacterial LSU rRNA". It matches the Rfam family "Bacterial large subunit ribosomal RNA", at positions 14 to 2538 of the family's 2925-position model. The record is from RNAcentral.
AGGGCGUAUGGUGGAUGCCUUGGCAGACAGGACCGAUGAAGGACGUUUGAGGCUGCGAUAUGCCUCGGGGAGCCGCCAACAGGGCUUUGAUCCGAGGAUUUCCGAAUGGGGGAACCCACCGACCGUCAUGGGUCGGUACCGGCUUCGGCCGGGGGGUACGCAGGGAAGUGAAACAUCUCAGUACCUGCAGGAAAGGAUAUUCCGUGAGUAGUGGCGAGCGAAAGCGGAUGAUGGCCAAACCUUGCGCGUGUGAUACCCGUCGGGGGUUGCGCGCGGGGUGUUGCGGGAUCGCGUGCGCCGGCUCCGACGGGCCGGCCGGCAGUUGCAGAAAACCAUGUGUCAGGGGAACCGGGUUGAAUACCGGGCCGCAGAGGGUGAGGGCCCCGUACCUGAACGCGCAUGGUCUGCCGAUCGCGUCUCCCAAGUAGCACGGGUCCCGUGGAACCCCGUGCGAAUCCGCCCAGACCGUUGGGUAAGCCUGAAUAUUCCUGUCUGACCGAUAGCGAACGAGUACCGUGAGGGAAAGGUGAAAAGUACCCCGGGAGGGGAGUGAAACAGUCUCUGAAACCGUGCGCCUACAAUCCGUCGGAGCCCUUUUGUGGGGUGACGGCGUGCCUAUCGAAAAAUGAGUCUGCGAGUCAGUGGCAUGUGGCGAGCAUAACCCGUGUGGGGUAUGCGUAGCGAAGGCGAGUCUUAAAAGGCGUUUGAGUCGCGUGUCCUGGACCCGAAGCGGGAUGAUCUAGCCCUGAGCAGGUUGAAGCGCGGGUAAGACCGCGUGGAGGACCGAACCCACCUGGGUUGAAAACCGGGGGGAUGACUUGGGGCUAGGGGUGAAAGGCCAAUCAAAUUCCGUGAUAGCUGGUUCUCUCCGAAAUGCAUUUGGGUGCAGCGUCGGGUCAUUACGUCCCGGGGGUAGAGCUACUGGAUGCUUGCGGGCCCGUAUCGGGUACCAACAGCAACCAAACUCCGAAUACCGGUGACGCGUAUCCCGGCAGUGAGUCGGCGGGGGAUAAGCUUCGUCGUCGAAAGGGAAACAGCCCAGACCGUCGUCUAAGGUCCCGAAGCGUGUGCUAAGUGGGAAAGGAUGUGGAGUCGCAUAGACAGCCAGGAGGUUGGCUCAGAAGCAGCCACCCUUGAAAGAGUGCGUAACAGCUCACUGGUCUAGUGGUUCCGCGCCGACAAUGUAGCGGGGCUCAAGCACACCACCGAAGACGCGGCAGUAUUUUGUACUGGGUAGGAGAGCGUCCCAUGAGGGGCGAAGCGGCCGUGUGAACGCGCCGUGGACUUCAUGGGAGUGAGAAUGCAGACAUGAGUAGCGAGAGACGGGUGAAGAUCCCGUCCGCUGGAUGACCAAGGGUUCCAGGGCCACGUUCAUCGUCCCUGGGUGAGUCGGGUCCUAAGGCGAGGCCGACAGGCGUAGUCGAAUGGAUGAACGGGUCGAUAUUCCCGUACCGGCUUUCAGCCGCCAAAACCGAGGCUUGGAGUACUAACCUCCGGGUCCGGGCUUACUGCUCCUUCGGGGGCGGGAUGCCCUGGCCUGUUGGGACCGAUCCUUGUAGUAGGUCAGCGCAGGAGUGACGCAGAAGGGUAGCCGGCCGCGGAGGUGGUCUUCCGUGGUCAAGCACGCAGGGCGUGGGACAGGCAAAUCCGUCCCGCAUGGGUCCGAGGUGCGAUGAUGGGGGCCUUAUGGCCCGAUAUCCGGUGAUCCCGGCUGCCGAGAAAAGCUUCGGCGUCAGGCUCAAAGCCGCCCGUACCCCAAACCGACACUGGUGGUCAGGUAGAGAAUACCAAAGCGAUCGAGCGAAUCCUGGUCAAGGAACUCGGCAAAUCACUCCCGUUCCUUCGGUUUAAGGGAGACCCCCGAUGGUGAACACACUUGCUGUGGGAGCUUUUGGGGGUGGCACAGACCAGGGGGUAGCGACUGUUUACCAAAAACACAGGUGCAUGCGAAGGCGCAAGCCGCUGUAUAUGCACUGACGCCUGCCCGGUGCCGGAAGGUUAAGAGGAGAUGUCAGGCAACGAAGCAUCGAAUUGAAGCCCCGGUAAACGGCGGCCGUAACUAUAACGGUCCUAAGGUAGCGAAAUUCCUUGUCGGGUAAGUUCCGACCUGCACGAAUGGCGUAACGACUUCCCCACUGUCUCGACCAGGAGCUCGGCGAAAUUGCAGUACGAGUAAAGAUGCUCGUUAAGCGCAGAAGGACGAAAAGACCCCGGGACCUUUACUAUACCUUGGUAUUGGCAUUCGGUGUGGAUUGUGUAGCAUAGGCGGGAGGCCGAGAGGCGCGGUCGCCAGAUCGCGCGGAGCCGUAAGGUGAAAUACCGCUCUGUUCGCAUUGGAUGUCUAACCUCGAACAGUCAUCCUGUUCAGGGACAGUGCCUGGCGGGUAGUUUAACUGGGGCGGUUGCCUCCCAAAGAGUAACGGAGGCGCCCAAAGGUCCGCUCAGCCCGGUUGGCAAUCGGGUGGCGAGUGCAAGUGCACAAGCGGGCUUGACUGCGAGGACGACGGUCCGAGCAGGGACGAAAGUCGGGACUAGUGAUCCGGUGCCGGUGUACGGACGCGGCAUCGCUCAACGGAUAAAAGGUACCCCGGGGAUAACAGGCUGAUCAUUCCCAAGAGUCCAUAUCGACGGGAUGGUUUGGCACCUCGAUGUCGGCUC